CUCUAAUAUUUUUCUGGAUUAUAUAUUUCAAGGAAUAUAUACAAUGAAAUAUUAGAAUAUUAAAGGGAUUUAUUCCUUCCUAAUACAGGUAAAAAUGAAUCAGUAAAAAAUGUAUUAGUAGGAUUA
This 126-nucleotide non-coding RNA is filed under the name chicken gut metagenome. RNAcentral's name for it is "RT-14 RNA". It matches the Rfam family "RT-14 RNA", at positions 1 to 125 of the family's 144-position model. From Rfam's summary of the family: Cloacimonetes, Firmicutes, Proteobacteria. Nearby to self-splicing intron genes The record is from RNAcentral.